AUUGAACGCUGGCGGCAUGCUUUACACAUGCAAGUCGAACGGCAGCACAGGGAGCUUGCUCCCGGGUGGCGAGUGGCGCACGGGUGAGUAAUACAUCGGAACGUGUCCUGUUGUGGGGGAUAACUGCUCGAAAGGGUGGCUAAUACCGCAUGAGACCUGAGGGUGAAAGCGGGGGAUCGCAAGACCUCGCGCAAUUGGAGCGGCCGAUGCCCGAUUAGCUAGUUGGUGAGGUAAAGGCUCACCAAGGCGACGAUCGGUAGCUGGUCUGAGAGGACGACCAGCCACACUGGGACUGAGACACGGCCCAGACUCCUACGGGAGGCAGCAGUGGGGAAUUUUGGACAAUGGGGGCAACCCUGAUCCAGCCAUGCCGCGUGCAGGAUGAAGGCCUUCGGGUUGUAAACUGCUUUGUCAGGGACGAAAGGGACCGUGUUAAUACCAUGGUCUGCUGACGGUACCUGAAGAAUAAGCACCGGCUGACUACGU
RNAcentral lists this ribosomal RNA (486 nucleotides) under uncultured bacterium. RNAcentral describes it as "bacterial SSU rRNA". It matches the Rfam family "Bacterial small subunit ribosomal RNA", at positions 30 to 506 of the family's 1533-position model. The record is from RNAcentral.